CAUGGCAAUAGCAGGUGAGUUACGCUGCUGUUGCCAGACAGUAUUCUGGGAUUUACCUUAGAGAUGAAAUUCUGCUUUUGUGGUGCCUUCCACCAGGACAAUACAUUCUCUGCAGCUGUGAGAAACAAGGUCCUCACAAGAGGACUUACAGUGGGAGACCAAAGAUGGACAGCUUGGCUGUUUUUCUAGUAAAAAUUCACCCUGACAAGAGCAGUGGGAAAUCAAAAUCCACAGCCACUUACACAGCUCUCAGCUUCUGUCCAGUCAGGAAGAAACAAAAGGAGAAAUGGGAGCAUGUUCUCUAUUUGCAGCACAUCUGCUUCAGUGGACCAAGAAACACAGAUCAGUUGUUUUGCAACAUGAAUGUAACACUGCGCUUGACAAGACGACUUGCUGUAACUCCACAA
This is a long non-coding RNA of Gallus gallus (chicken), 407 nucleotides long. NCBI's taxonomy places the organism in Eukaryota, Metazoa, Chordata, Aves, Galliformes, Phasianidae. The record is from Ensembl.